UCCAGCUAAUAUAGCAGGGCUGAAGCCUGAGAGAAGAAGCCCUGGAAGCUGUCAGAGAGGAGCCAUGGACACUGUCUCUGGACUGGACCCUGGACUCACUAUGGAACCUGAGGACAAGUCUUUGGACCCGAGGGAGACCAGCCACAGAAGAUUUGCUGUAAAGUCCUGCAACAUUGUCUUUCUGAUAUUCGGACUGCUGAGUAUUCUCCUAAUCUCCCUGCAGUUCAGUUCAGUGAUGCACACAGAGGAGGAGAAGGAGGCCCCCAGCAUCACAGAGUUC
This is a long non-coding RNA of Gadus morhua (Atlantic cod), 280 nucleotides long. RefSeq lists it as uncharacterized. The record is from RefSeq and is a predicted model, not a curated record. The transcript has 3 exons. Lineage: Eukaryota; Metazoa; Chordata; Actinopteri; Gadiformes; Gadidae.